RNAcentral lists this long non-coding RNA (385 nucleotides) under Musa acuminata (dwarf banana). RNAcentral's name for it is "long non-coding RNA (MACU_LNC009505)". Lineage: Eukaryota; Viridiplantae; Streptophyta; Magnoliopsida; Zingiberales; Musaceae. The record is from RNAcentral.
CAACUCUUAGGAAGGGAUCUUAGAAUCUUAUUUACGAGCUCAAAAUCCGAAAAACUUUUGCCGAGUCCUUUUAGACCAUUGACGACAUCCGUGAAACGGGUGUACAUGUCGCCAAUAGUCUCGCUCGGUUUCAUUCGAAAAAGUUUGAAAGAAUGUAUCAAAAGAUUGAUUUUUGACUCUUUCACUCUACUUGUGCCUUCGUGAGUCACUUCGAAUAUAUGCCAAAUAUCAAACGCGGUUUCACAAACCGAAACACGAUUGAACUCAUUUUUAUCAAGCGCACAAAAUAAGGCAUUCAUAGCCUUUGCAUUAAGAGCAAAAGUCUUCUUCUCCAAUUCAUUCCAAUCAAUCAUUGGAAGAAAAGACUUCGAAAAUCCAUUUUCGA